This 2406-nucleotide ribosomal RNA is filed under the name human oral metagenome. RNAcentral describes it as "bacterial LSU rRNA". It matches the Rfam family "Bacterial large subunit ribosomal RNA", at positions 385 to 2312 of the family's 2925-position model. The record is from RNAcentral.
GACGCUGACCUUAUUCUGUAUUCUCGAGUAGGUCGGGGCACGAGAAACCCUGAUUGAAUCCGGCUGGACCACCAGCCAAGGCUAAAUAUAGUAUAUGAUCGAUAGUGAACUAGUACGGUGACGGAAAGGUGAAAAGAACCCCGGGAGGGGAGUGAAAUAGAACCUGAAAUUUUGUGCCUACAAGGAGUCGGAGCCCAGCACCUUUGAAAUCGAGUGGUACAAUGUAGGCGGAUGUUCUACGUGUACGUUUUGCAAAGUGAUCGGGAAUCAGAUCAAAUUUACUUCGGUCAGACUAGUGAUUUAAGACGACGUCUCUCGGAGCAUAAUUCUGGCAAGGAUACUUAUACCAAGAUAUAUGCGCCAUGGAAGGUUGUCUAUUAUGAAGCCUAUUCAUCACGUAAGCUAGCAAUGGCUCGUGAGAGGCGGCUGAAAGCUUAUGGACAAGCCAGGACUGCUCUGAAGAAGAGACUAAAUUUGAUCUGAUACUCGAUUUCAAAGGUGCUGGGUGACGGCGUGCUUUUUGUAGAACGAUCCAGCGAGUUAAUUUUUACGGCGAGGUUAAGUCAGAUGAUGAAGCCAUAGUGAAAGCGAGCAUUAACAGUGCGAUUUAGUCGUAAGGAUUAGACCCGAAACCAGGUGACCUAACCAUGAGCAGGUUGAAGCAACCUUAAUCGGUUGUGGAGGACCGAACCAGUGUAUAUUGCAAAAUGCUUGGAUGACUUGUGGUUAGCGGUGAAAUGCCAAUCGAACUUGGAGAUAGCUGGUUCUCCGCGAAAUAGUUAUAGGACUAGCGUCGUGUGAUAGCUUACGGGGGUAGAGCUCUGUCAAGAGAUAGGGGGAGCAAUCCUACCUACUCUUAAUAAACUACGAAUACCGUAUGUCUGUAUCACGGCAGUUAGAACGUCGGUGCUAAGAUCGGCGCUCAAAAGGGAAACAGCCCAGACCAUCAUCUAAGGUCCCCAAAUUUACGCUAAGUGGGAAACAAGGUGGAAUUUCUUAAACAGCUAGGAUGUUGGCUUAGAAGCAGCCAUUCAUUUAAAGAGUGCGUAACAGCUCACUAGUCAAGAGAUUUUGCGUGGAAAAUGUAACGGGGCUAAAGUGUUAAACCGAAGACAUGGACUUCUGCUUUUGCAGGAGUGGUAGAGGAGCGUUGAUAUCGCAGCGAAGUCAGAUUGUAAAGUCUGGUGGAGCGUUAUCAAGUGAGAAUGCUGGAAUCAGUAACCUUAAGGCAGGUGAGAAUCCUGCCGGUCGUAAGAGCAAGGUUUCCAGGGCUACAGUAAUUGUCCCUGGGUUAGUCGGUCCUAAGCCGAGGCGUAUCAGCGUAGGCGAUGGACAACAGGUUAAUAUUCCUGUACAGGUAGUAGUUGUGAACAGUUCACGGUGAAUGACCGGAGCGGAUUAAUGGUUUAUCCGUCCAAGUCUCUAGGGAACUAGAGAUGAGUGAAAGGUAAUCUUCGGAUUAUUAAUUCCGGGUGAAGCACUGGCUAGAAAAGCUGGUUCACUUAUGCUGCUGCCUACCGUACCGCAAACCAACACCGGUGCUCGGGUCGAGUAGACCAAGACCUACGUGAGAACCUUCGCUAAGGAACUCGGCAAAAAAGCGUCCGUAACUUCGGAAUAAGGACUGCCCUCUCAUUAAGAUGAGGAUUUGCUAGAAACUCAGCAGAAGAUUCAGAGUUAUGUUACUUAUUUACUAAUAAUUUAUUUUACUUCGAGACCAUAUGCUCGGCCGAACGGCCAUGAGUGUGUCGAGAAGGAAAUAAAUUUUAGUUAUUUACCUUAAUACUGAAUUUUUUCGUUGAGACAGAACACAAAUCAGGAUUUGUUUUAGCAAAUUCGUGUCUUUUCUAGUAGUCUAAUCGUCAUUUUGAUGAGAGGGCCGCAGCUAAAGAGCCCACGGAACUGUUUACCAAAAACAUAGGUCUCUGCUAACGCGAAAGCGGAUGUAUAGGGGCUGACUCCUGCCCGGUGUCGGAAGGUUAAGGGGAGAGCUUUACGGUUCGAACUGAAGCCCCGAUGAACGGCGGCGAUAACUAUGAUCGUCCUAAGGUAGCGAAAUUCCUUGUCUGGUAAGUUCAGACCCGCACGAAUGGAGUAAUCAUGUGGGCACUGUCUCGGCGAAGGCCACGGUGAACGUGCAUUGGCGGUAAAGAUGCCGUCUGAUCAUGCCAGGACGAGAAGACCCCAUGGAGCUUUACUACAACUUUGCAUUGAUUAUUGGGACAUUUUGUGUAGAAUAGGUGGAAGACUUUGAAGCAGAUACGCUAGUAUUUGUGGAGUCGAAAUGUGAAAUACCACCCUGAAUGUUUUAGUAAUCUCACUUUUGACCUGAUCGGCCAAAAGGACCGUGCAUGGCGGGUAGUUUAACUGGGGCGGUUGCCUCCUAAAGAGUAGCGGAGGCGUUCA